UACAGAGGUCUCAAGCGUUGUUCGGAUUCAUUGGGCGUAAAGGGUGCGUAGGUGGCGUGGUAAGUCGGGUGUGAAAUUUCGGAGCUUAACUCCGAAACUGCAUUCGAUACUGCUGUGCUUGAGGACUGGAGAGGAGACUGGAAUUUACGGUGUAGCAGUGAAAUGCGUAGAGAUCGUAAGGAAGACCAGUGGCGAAGGCGGGUCUCUGGACAGUAACUGACGCUGAGGAGCGAAAGCGUGGGGAGCGAACAGG
This 253-nucleotide ribosomal RNA is filed under the name uncultured bacterium. Its description in RNAcentral is "partial 16S ribosomal RNA". It matches the Rfam family "Bacterial small subunit ribosomal RNA", at positions 524 to 776 of the family's 1533-position model. The record is from RNAcentral.